GAUGAACGCUGGCGGCGUGCCUAAUACAUGCAAGUCGAGCGAACAGACGAGGAGCUUGCUCCUUCGACGUUAGCGGCGGACGGGUGAGUAACACGUAGGUAACCUACCUAUAAGACUGGGAUAACUUCGGGAAACCGGAGCUAAUACCGGAUAAUAUUUCGAACCGCAUGGUUCGAUAGUGAAAGAUGGCUUUGCUAUCACUCAUAGAUGGACCUGCGCCGUAUUAGCUAGUUGGUAAGGUAACGGCUUACCAAGGCAACGAUACGUAGCCGACCUGAGAGGGUGAUCGGCCACACUGGAACUGAGACACGGUCCAGACUCCUACGGGAGGCAGCAGUAGGGAAUCUUCCGCAAUGGGCGAAAGCCUGACGGAGCAACGCCGCGUGAGUGAUGAAGGUCUUCGGAUCGUAAAACUCUGUUAUUAGGGAAGAACAAACGUGUAAGUAACUGUGCACGUCUUGACGGUACCUAAUCAGAAAGCCACGGCUAACUACGUG
RNAcentral lists this ribosomal RNA (497 nucleotides) under uncultured bacterium. RNAcentral describes it as "partial 16S ribosomal RNA". It matches the Rfam family "Bacterial small subunit ribosomal RNA", at positions 28 to 507 of the family's 1533-position model. The record is from RNAcentral.